This 1662-nucleotide ribosomal RNA is filed under the name Escherichia coli 7-233-03_S3_C2. Its description in RNAcentral is "bacterial LSU rRNA". It matches the Rfam family "Bacterial large subunit ribosomal RNA", at positions 1283 to 2925 of the family's 2925-position model. Lineage: Bacteria; Pseudomonadati; Pseudomonadota; Gammaproteobacteria; Enterobacterales; Enterobacteriaceae. The record is from RNAcentral.
CAGAAGUGCGAAUGCUGACAUAAGUAACGAUAAAGCGGGUGAAAAGCCCGCUCGCCGGAAGACCAAGGGUUCCUGUCCAACGUUAAUCGGGGCAGGGUGAGUCGACCCCUAAGGCGAGGCCGAAAGGCGUAGUCGAUGGGAAACAGGUUAAUAUUCCUGUACUUGGUGUUACUGCGAAGGGGGGACGGAGAAGGCUAUGUUGGCCGGGCGACGGUUGUCCCGGUUUAAGCGUGUAGGCUGGUUUUCCAGGCAAAUCCGGAAAAUCAAGGCUGAGGCGUGAUGACGAGGCACUACGGUGCUGAAGCAACAAAUGCCCUGCUUCCAGGAAAAGCCUCUAAGCAUCAGGUAACAUCAAAUCGUACCCCAAACCGACACAGGUGGUCAGGUAGAGAAUACCAAGGCGCUUGAGAGAACUCGGGUGAAGGAACUAGGCAAAAUGGUGCCGUAACUUCGGGAGAAGGCACGCUGAUAUGUAGGUGAAGUCCCUCGCGGAUGGAGCUGAAAUCAGUCGAAGAUACCAGCUGGCUGCAACUGUUUAUUAAAAACACAGCACUGUGCAAACACGAAAGUGGACGUAUACGGUGUGACGCCUGCCCGGUGCCGGAAGGUUAAUUGAUGGGGUUAGCGCAAGCGAAGCUCUUGAUCGAAGCCCCGGUAAACGGCGGCCGUAACUAUAACGGUCCUAAGGUAGCGAAAUUCCUUGUCGGGUAAGUUCCGACCUGCACGAAUGGCGUAAUGAUGGCCAGGCUGUCUCCACCCGAGACUCAGUGAAAUUGAACUCGCUGUGAAGAUGCAGUGUACCCGCGGCAAGACGGAAAGACCCCGUGAACCUUUACUAUAGCUUGACACUGAACAUUGAGCCUUGAUGUGUAGGAUAGGUGGGAGGCUUUGAAGUGUGGACGCCAGUCUGCAUGGAGCCGACCUUGAAAUACCACCCUUUAAUGUUUGAUGUUCUAACGUUGACCCGUAAUCCGGGUUGCGGACAGUGUCUGGUGGGUAGUUUGACUGGGGCGGUCUCCUCCUAAAGAGUAACGGAGGAGCACGAAGGUUGGCUAAUCCUGGUCGGACAUCAGGAGGUUAGUGCAAUGGCAUAAGCCAGCUUGACUGCGAGCGUGACGGCGCGAGCAGGUGCGAAAGCAGGUCAUAGUGAUCCGGUGGUUCUGAAUGGAAGGGCCAUCGCUCAACGGAUAAAAGGUACUCCGGGGAUAACAGGCUGAUACCGCCCAAGAGUUCAUAUCGACGGCGGUGUUUGGCACCUCGAUGUCGGCUCAUCACAUCCUGGGGCUGAAGUAGGUCCCAAGGGUAUGGCUGUUCGCCAUUUAAAGUGGUACGCGAGCUGGGUUUAGAACGUCGUGAGACAGUUCGGUCCCUAUCUGCCGUGGGCGCUGGAGAACUGAGGGGGGCUGCUCCUAGUACGAGAGGACCGGAGUGGACGCAUCACUGGUGUUCGGGUUGUCAUGCCAAUGGCACUGCCCGGUAGCUAAAUGCGGAAGAGAUAAGUGCUGAAAGCAUCUAAGCACGAAACUUGCCCCGAGAUGAGUUCUCCCUGACCCUUUAAGGGUCCUGAAGGAACGUUGAAGACGACGACGUUGAUAGGCCGGGUGUGUAAGCGCAGCGAUGCGUUGAGCUAACCGGUACUAAUGAACCGUGAGGCUUAACCUU